AGUAAACGCUGGCGGUAGGCCUAACACAUGCAAGUCGAACGGCAGCACAGUAAGAGCUUGCUCUUACGGGUGGCGAGUGGCGGACGGGUGAGGAAUACAUCGGAAUCUACUUUUUCGUGGGGGAUAACGUAGGGAAACUUACGCUAAUACCGCAUACGACCUACGGGUGAAAGCGGGGAUCUUCGGACCUUGCGCGAUUGAAUGAGCCGAUGUCGGAUUAGCUAGUUGGCGGGGUAAAGGCCCACCAAGGCGACGAUCCGUAGCUGGUCUGAGAGGAUGAUCAGCCACACUGGAACUGAGACACGGUCCAGACUCCUACGGGAGGCAGCAGUGGGGAAUAUUGGACAAUGGGCGCAAGCCUGAUCCAGCCAUACCGCGUGGGUGAAGAAGGCCUUCGGGUUGUAAAGCCCUUUUGUUGGGAAAGAAAAGCAGCAGGUUAAUACCCCGCUGUUCUGACGGUACCCAAAGAAUAAGCACCGGCUAACUUCGUG
RNAcentral lists this ribosomal RNA (491 nucleotides) under uncultured bacterium. RNAcentral describes it as "partial 16S ribosomal RNA". It matches the Rfam family "Bacterial small subunit ribosomal RNA", at positions 29 to 507 of the family's 1533-position model. The record is from RNAcentral.